This 510-nucleotide long non-coding RNA is filed under the name Carica papaya (papaya). RNAcentral describes it as "long non-coding RNA (CPAP_LNC016088)". The record is from RNAcentral. Lineage: Eukaryota; Viridiplantae; Streptophyta; Magnoliopsida; Brassicales; Caricaceae.
CGGGUUUCUCUUUUAGUUAGUUUGUUCUUUUAUACUUUGAGCACGUUUUUGGUUUUAGUGUAAGGGAUGUUAAUCAAAAUUUUUAUUACGCUUCCGCAUUUGACCUUUUUAAUACACAUAUUUCAUUUUAAAAUUCCGGGGCCAUUGCAGUUGGUAUCAGAGCCGCGUUUCCUCGGAUCCAUCCCUUACACAAUAGUGCCUUAGAGAAAUACUCACCGAUAGAUCGUUUACUCAACCAUUCCUUGUGAAUGCAGGUACACAGAAAUGAGGAGAGGAAGGCCCCCACUAAUCCGAGUGGCCCAAGAUAAUUCGCUUCGGGAGGAUUUAAACAGACUAUUUGAUAUGGUGGAAGCUCUCGUAGCUACCCAGCAAAGGCGAGAGGAGAAAAGGGAGUUACCCGGACCUCCUCCGCUAUCGCAGGUUGAGCCCCCGCUACAGCAGGCUGAUCCCGAGCCACCCCGGCAGGAGCCUGCUCCUCCACAGUACCACCCGGCACCACAGCCGCGGUAC